GAUAAGAACGUAGCGAAAUGCGAUAAGUAAUGUGAAUUGCAGAAUUCAGUGAAUCAUCGAAUCUUUGAACGCACAUUGCGCCCGCCAGUAUUCUGGCGGGCAUGCCUGUCCGAGCGUCAUUUCAACCCUCGAACCCCUCCGGGGGGUCGGCGUUGGGGACCUCGGGAGCCCCUAAGACGGGAUCCCGGCCCCGAAAUACAGUGGCGGUCUCGCCGCAGCCUCUCCUGCGCAGUAGUUUGCACAACUCGCACCGGGAGCGCGGCGCGUCCACGUCCGUAAAACACCCAACUUCUGAAAUGUUGACCUCGGAUCAGGUAGGAAUACCCGCUGAACUUAAGCAUAUCAAUAAGCGGAGGA
This 357-nucleotide unclassified non-coding RNA is filed under the name soil metagenome. RNAcentral's name for it is "partial contains 5.8S ribosomal RNA, internal transcribed spacer 2, and large subunit ribosomal RNA". The stretch from base 4 to 119 matches the Rfam family "5.8S ribosomal RNA", at positions 39 to 154 of the family's 154-position model. The record is from RNAcentral.